AAUGGGUCAGCGACUUAUAUUCUGUAGCAAGGUUAACCGAAUAGGGGAGCCGAAGGGAAACCGAGUCUUAACUGGGCGUUAAGUUGCAGGGUAUAGACCCGAAACCCGGUGAUCUAGCCAUGGGCAGGUUGAAGGUUGGGUAACACUAACUGGAGGACCGAACCGACUAAUGUUGAAAAAUUAGCGGAUGACUUGUGGCUGGGGGUGAAAGGCCAAUCAAACCGGGAGAUAGCUGGUUCUCCCCGAAAGCUAUUUAGGUAGCGCCUCGUGAAUUCAUCUCCGGGGGUAGAGCACUGUUUCGGCAAGGGGGUCAUCCCGACUUACCAACCCGAUGCAAACUGCGAAUACCGGAGAAUGUUAUCACGGGAGACACACGGCGGGUGCUAACGUCCGUCGUGAAGAGGGAAACAACCCAGACCGCCAGCUAAGGUCCCAAAGUCAUGGUUAAGUGGGAAACGAUGUGGGAAGGCCCAGACAGCCAGGAUGUUGGCUUAGAAGCAGCCAUCAUUUAAAGAAAGCGUAAUAGCUCACUGGUCGAGUCGGCCUGCGCGGAAGAUGUAACGGGGCUAAACCAUGCACCGAAGCUGCGGCAGCGACGCUUAUGCGUUGUUGGGUAGGGGAGCGUUCUGUAAGCCUGUGAAGGUGUACUGUGAGGUAUGCUGGAGGUAUCAGAAGUGCGAAUGCUGACAUAAGUAACGAUAAAGCGGGUGAAAAGCCCGCUCGCCGGAAGACCAAGGGUUCCUGUCCAACGUUAAUCGGGGCAGGGUGAGUCGACCCCUAAGGCGAGGCCGAAAGGCGUAGUCGAUGGGAAACAGGUUAAUAUUCCU
RNAcentral lists this ribosomal RNA (827 nucleotides) under Escherichia coli. Its description in RNAcentral is "partial 23S ribosomal RNA". It matches the Rfam family "Bacterial large subunit ribosomal RNA", at positions 614 to 1440 of the family's 2925-position model. The record is from RNAcentral. Lineage: Bacteria; Pseudomonadati; Pseudomonadota; Gammaproteobacteria; Enterobacterales; Enterobacteriaceae.